GAUGAGCUUAAUUGUAUGUGAUGAAAAGGUUCAAGUUUGGGAUUGCAUGGGGGAAAUUGAAAAGUUGUUAAGAAGCAUUGAGCUCAAAUGUUGAAAAAGAAAAAUGCAUAAGAAAAAGAAAAGAAAAGAAGAAAAAGCAUGAAGAUGAGCUCAAUGAAAAAGAAAAGGGAAAAAGUUGGAAUAAGUGAGAUUGGUGAGGAAGAGAGUUGUGCGUAAAUGUUAAAUACUAUGAUAUCUCUCUUAACUCAAGGAUUUUGCUUUUCGGAAAAACCAAUUUUUCUUGUUAACCCGACCUCAUUACAAGCCUUGGAAAAGUCCUUUUGAUGGCAUUUGCAUGUAAGGAUUUUGAUUGUUUGAGAUGAAUGGCAAUUUUAUUUCA
This 379-nucleotide long non-coding RNA is filed under the name Vigna radiata. RNAcentral's name for it is "long non-coding RNA (VRAD_LNC008008)". Lineage: Eukaryota; Viridiplantae; Streptophyta; Magnoliopsida; Fabales; Fabaceae. The record is from RNAcentral.